GACAGAGGGUGCAAACGUUGUUCGGAAUUACUGGGCGUAAAGCGCGUGUAGGCGGCUUGGCAAGUCGGGUGUGAAAGCCCCGGGCUCAACCUGGGAAGUGCACUCGAAACUGCUUGGCUUGAGUACUGGAGAGGGAAGCGGAAUUCUCGGUGUAGAGGUGAAAUUCGUAGAUAUCGGGAGGAACACCGGUGGCGAAGGCGGCGACCUGGGUAGAUACUGACGCUGAGGCGCGAAAGCGUGGGGAGCAAACAGG
RNAcentral lists this ribosomal RNA (253 nucleotides) under uncultured bacterium. RNAcentral describes it as "partial 16S ribosomal RNA". It matches the Rfam family "Bacterial small subunit ribosomal RNA", at positions 524 to 776 of the family's 1533-position model. The record is from RNAcentral.